This 348-nucleotide unclassified non-coding RNA is filed under the name soil metagenome. Its description in RNAcentral is "partial contains 5.8S ribosomal RNA, internal transcribed spacer 2, and large subunit ribosomal RNA". The stretch from base 1 to 120 matches the Rfam family "5.8S ribosomal RNA", at positions 35 to 154 of the family's 154-position model. The record is from RNAcentral.
GAUGAAGAACGUAGCAAAAUGCGAUAAGUAAUGUGAAUUGCAGAAUUCAGUGAAUCAUCGAAUCUUUGAACGCACAUUGCGCCCGCUGGUAUUCCGGCGGGCAUGCCUGUUCGAGCGUCAUUUCAACCCUCAAGCCCCCGGGUUUGGUGUUGGGGAUCGGCUCUGCCCUUCUGGGCGGUGCCGCCCCCAAAAUACAUUGGCGGUCUCGCUGCAGCCUCCAUUGCGUAGUAGCUAACACCUCGCAACUGGAACGCGGCGCGGCCAUGCCGUAAAACCCCAACUUCUGAAUGUUGACCUCGGAUCAGGUAGGAAUACCCGCUGAACUUAAGCAUAUCAAUAAGCGGAGGA